RNAcentral lists this ribosomal RNA (698 nucleotides) under uncultured bacterium. RNAcentral's name for it is "bacterial SSU rRNA". It matches the Rfam family "Bacterial small subunit ribosomal RNA", at positions 62 to 733 of the family's 1533-position model. The record is from RNAcentral.
ACGAGAGGACUGGGAAGCUUGCUUCCUAUGAAAUCGAGUGGCAAACGGGUGAGUAACGCGUAAACAACCUGCCCUUCGGAUGGGGAUAACAGCCGGAAACGGCUGCUAAUACCGAAUACGAUCUUUUCGUCGCAUGACGGAAAGAAGAAAGGAUGGCCUCUAUACAAAGCUAUCGCCGAAGGAGGGGUUUGCGUCUGAUUAGCUGGUUGGAGGGGUAACGGCCCAACAAGGCGAUGAUCAGUAGCCGGUCUGAGAGGAUGAACGGCCACAUUGGGACUGAGACACGGCCCAGACUCCUACGGGAGGCAGCAGUGGGGAAUCUUCCGCAAUGGACGAAAGUCUGACGGAGCAACGCCGCGUGAGUGAAGAAGGUCUUCGGAUUGUAAAGCUCUGUUAUACGGGACGAAAAAGACGGAUGCCAACAGUAUCCGUCCGUGACGGUACCGUAAGAGAAAGCCACGGCUAACUACGUGCCAGCAGCCGCGGUAAUACGUAGGUGGCAAGCGUUGUCCGGAAUUAUUGGGCGUAAAGGGCGCGCAGGCGGUUCGGUAAGUCUGUCUUAAAAGUGCGGGGCUUAACCCCGUGAGGGGACGGAAACUGUCGAACUUGAGUGUCGGAGAGGAAAGCGGAAUUCCUAGUGUAGCGGUGAAAUGCGUAGAUAUUAGGAGGAACACCGGUGGCGAAAGCGGCUUUCUGGA